This 409-nucleotide ribosomal RNA is filed under the name Priestia megaterium. RNAcentral's name for it is "bacterial SSU rRNA". It matches the Rfam family "Bacterial small subunit ribosomal RNA", at positions 1014 to 1422 of the family's 1533-position model. The record is from RNAcentral. Lineage: Bacteria; Bacillati; Bacillota; Bacilli; Caryophanales; Bacillaceae.
UCCCCUUCGGNGGACAGAGUGACAGGUNCCUGCAUGGUUGUCGUCAGCUCGUGUCGUGAGAUGUUGGGUUAAGUCCCGCAACGAGCGCAACCCUUGAUCUUAGUUGCCAGCAUUUAGUUGGGCACUCUAAGGUGACUGCCGGUGACAAACCGGAGGAAGGUGGGGAUGACGUCAAAUCAUCAUGCCCCUUAUGACCUGGGCUACACACGUGCUACAAUGGAUGGUACAAAGGGCUGCAAGACCGCGAGGUCAAGCCAAUCCCAUAAAACCAUUCUCAGUUCGGAUUGUNUNCUGCAACUCGCCUACAUGAAGCUGGAAUCGCUAGUAAUCGCGGAUCAGCAUGCCGCGGUGAAUACNUUCCCGGGCCUUGUACACACCGCCCGUCACACCACGAGAGUUUGUAACACCC